RNAcentral lists this long non-coding RNA (330 nucleotides) under Elaeis guineensis (African oil palm). Its description in RNAcentral is "long non-coding RNA (EGUI_LNC013170)". Lineage: Eukaryota; Viridiplantae; Streptophyta; Magnoliopsida; Arecales; Arecaceae. The record is from RNAcentral.
CAGCCAAGUCCUUUGGAACCGCUGGUCUUGCUGGCGGUUUGUCGCUGGUCUCUCUAGCGACAUGUUGCUGGUCUCGCUGGCGACAUAAACCCUCCGGACAAUCAAUUGCCAACGUAUAUGCCCCCAUUGGCGGGGUCCUUUACACAGUCAGGUUGUCAAUUUCAUAUUGACUUCCAAUUCAUAUAUUAUUUUCAAAAUAAUAUAAAUAAAUGAUAUUCGAGUCAAAUCAAUCAUAUCAUUCUUUAUGAUCAUACAUCAUCAUAAUAAUUUUUCAACAAAUAACUUCAAUCAUAAAUAAUUUCUACAAUUAACUUUAAUCAUAAAUAAUUU